CCUACGGGAGGCUGCAGUGGGGAAUUCUGCGCAAUGCUCGGAAGAGUGACGCAGCGACGCCGCGUGAAUGACGAAGGCCUUCGGGUCGUAAAGUUCUUUCGACAGGGAAGAAAAUGCCUAUAAGUAACUGUGUAUGUAUUGACGGUACCUGGAUAAGCAGCCCCGGCUAACUCCGUGCCAGCAGCCGCGGCAAUACGGAGGGGGCGAGCGUUGUCCGGAGGGACUGGGCGUAAAGAGUGCGUAGGCGGUGUUGUAAGUCCUGAGUCAAAGACUAGAGCUCAACUCUAGUAAGGCUAGUGAUACUAUAAAACUAGAGUACAAGAGAGGAGAGCAGAAUUCCUGGUGUAGCGGUGAAAUGCGUAGAUAUUAGGAGGAAUACCAGUGGCGAAGGCGGCAAUCUGGCUUGUAACUGACGUUGAGGUGCGAAAGCGUGGGUAGCAAACAGGAUUAGAUACCCUGGUAGUC
RNAcentral lists this ribosomal RNA (465 nucleotides) under uncultured bacterium. Its description in RNAcentral is "partial 16S ribosomal RNA". It matches the Rfam family "Bacterial small subunit ribosomal RNA", at positions 338 to 795 of the family's 1533-position model. The record is from RNAcentral.